Molecule: unclassified non-coding RNA, 411 nt
Filed under: Hevea brasiliensis (rubber tree)
Lineage: Eukaryota; Viridiplantae; Streptophyta; Magnoliopsida; Malpighiales; Euphorbiaceae
Source: RNAcentral
AUGUUGAAAUUUCUUCUUGUUCUUAAAAUUGUGAAUUUGAGAAUAUAGUAAUAAAUCUGCUUCUUCCAUUUCGGAAAUGUGUAUGUGAUUUUGAAUGUGAAAUUAUCAAUUAUGAAUCUAAACUAUGAAUUGUUCUUGAAACUAUGAACUGUGAAUCUAAACCAAAUUACCGAAAUUAUUCGGUUCAGUUUUAACUUGUCUAAUAAUUCAGUUUUCAGUUUUUUCAAUUCGAUUCAAAAUCGAAUUGACCGUUUACUUGCCCCUAGCCCUAAAUUGGACAGUGGCCAAGUCUACUUGGUGGUCUUGGUGAAACCCAUUAGGGCUGCUAACUAAGAGACAAUGAUUAGGUCAGCCGAAAACAACUGAUCAAGCAUUUGAAAAUACUUUGAAAUUCCAAAUGAAAGAUCUAAG